Ictalurus punctatus (channel catfish) is the source of this 14337-nucleotide long non-coding RNA. The record is from Ensembl. Lineage: Eukaryota; Metazoa; Chordata; Actinopteri; Siluriformes; Ictaluridae.
CCCCCCUCUGUGUACCUCUCUCACUCUGACUGUUUCUCAUAUUCUUCCCUCUUUCCUUUCCCUCUCUCUCUCUCUCUCUCUCUCCCUCUGUGUACCUCUCUCACUCUGACUGUUUCUCAUAUUCUUCCCUCUUUCCUUUCCCUCUCUCUCUCUCUCUCCCUCUGUGUACCUCUCUCACUCUGACUCUUUCUCGUAUUCUUCCCUCUUUCCUUUCCCCCUCUCUCUCUCUCUCUCUCCCUCUGUGUACCUCUCUCACUCUGACUCUUUCUCGUAUUCUUCCCUCUUUCCUUUCCCUCUCUCUCUCUCUCCCUCUCAGUACCUCUCUCACUCUAACUCUUUCUCGUAUUCUUCCCUCCUUCCUUUCCCUCUCUUGCUGUCUGUUUCUCUUUGUCCUUCUCUAUCUAGGCUUUUUUAAUCACGUCUUUCUGUUUCUCCUUCUCUCUCUCUCUCAUCCCUCUCUCUCAUGUUUCUUCCCACUUUCCUUUCUCCUGCUGUCCCUCUACUCUCUCUCUGUCUCUCAUCCGAUUUAUCUUUAUCUCCCCAUCUAUUUCUCUGUCUCGCUUUUCAACACGCCACCUCUCCUUUUUUCAGUCCCUUUUCGUCCCUUUCUUUCUCACUCCCUCGUUCUGUCUUCCUUUCAACGCCUCCAUCUGUUUUUCUCAUCACGUCUGUCCUCUCCCUCUCUUUCCUUGUCUGUCCCCUUCUUUUCUUUUCCUGUCCUUCCAUCUCUUUUCAUCUCUCUCUCCAUUUCAUGCCCUCUCCCCUGACUCACUCGUUUUCUCUCUUCCUCUACGUCUCUCUACCUUUUCGGGUUUGUUUUCCACUGUGUGUCCCCGUUUCUGACAAUUUUUUUGCUCCCUCCUUUCUUUCUCUCCCAGUCACACACUGUUUUUCUGACACUUUUCCCUUUACUCCCCUCUGGCAGCUUCCACACACACACACACACACACACACACACACACACACACACACACACACACACACACACAUUAGAAAGUCAUGUCAACACUUUUCUCUCUAUUUUUCCUUCUUUCUGAAAGACCUACUGUGGUAGUGUGUGAGUGACUCAGCUGGAGGUGUACAGGUCAAAGGUCACGGGUGGGGAAGGGGUACACACACACACACACACACACACACACACAUGUAACAGUCCUGCCAGUGGGUCUGCCUGCUGUUCCUGCAUCUAGAACAUCAGCUAAAGCAACAGGAAACGCCUGAGGACAGAAUUAAACUCCACCCACUCGUGGUCCAUAACUGUGGGUGGGGUUUUGUGGUGGGGCGGGGGGUUGUUUUAUGGACAGGAUAAGGUGCAUUAGUGUAUUCUCGAAAGAAGUGCCCCCCAUCCCAAACCAACACCCCCCACACACACACACACACACACCACCAUCCCCCUUUCUUACUUUCUUCCUCCUUCGAGUGCCCUGAAGGACGUGCACUUUUAGGGUGUGUGUUUUUGGCUCUGUGUGUGUGUGUGUGUGUGUGUGUGUGUGUGUGUGUGUGUUUCCAUCCUUUCCUCCCGUUAGCCGCGUAGCCACACGGGAAGCCGUUCUUUAAAAGGGCACAAUACCAAAAAAGGCGGCCAUUAAAACAAACAAACCAUGGACUCAGGGGGAAAAACAGAUAAGUCCCUCCUCUUGCCACACACACACACACACACACACACACACACGCUCGUGGAAAGUCCGAGCGGUUUGCUCCCACUACAUGACUACACACUCUUUUCGACCUCUGAGAAAUGAGUCGAGGGAAGAACAAUAAAGUUGAACAACCUCGGCCUCCAGAGGCGUUCGUGAACCGCCGGCUGAAGUAUAUUUCACUAUCUGGCAACCUUCGUCCACAAAAUUGGCCCAGUCUGUUACGGGAUGUUACGACCGCUUCGUGGGAAUUUUUUAUUGUUUUUACAAUUUAUUUAUUUAUAGAACACAGAGUACAGAGCUUGCUGCACCCCCUCCCUGCCUCUCUCCUCUUCCCGUAUUCCUCUUAGCAUUUCAGUGACGCCAAGCACAGCUAGCAUUCGUAUAACACGGACAGCUCCGUUCACAAUAAAAACUUGUUAAUUCCUUAUUUCAGGAAAAUAUAAAUAUGUCUAUGUGGAGCGACGUCACGUAGACUGAGGUAACUGAGUUAGCUAGCUAGUUACCACGAACGAUACUCAGCACAGCACAGCUAGCGCUCGUCCGUAUGCUACGUAUACUGUAUAACCAUUUAAAAAAAAAAAAAAGUUUGACCAUAAAUAAAGUAAAACAAAGAAAUUCUCGCAUCCUUAAACGCUGAGAAAUCGCUGAGAAAGAUUAGCCACGGUACAACCAUAAAGUUUUGCUUCUGCAUCACCUACCAUUUCUAGCAAACCUUAACAAGCUAGCUAGCACACUGGAAAGGUUAGCCAAAGCAAUUUAUAUACAAAUUUAUGCGCAAAAAAUCGAGGUAUCAAAAGUUGUUCCCUUGCGAUCGAGCCUGUGUGCAGCGCCACCUAGCUGUGUAUAAAAACAAAACAAAAAACCCUAAAAGCUAGUUAGCUAGCUAACAUAAAUGUCUCCAGCUAGCCCUACAUUACAUUAACUAGUGGGUUGUAACUAUACAGCUAAUCUCGGCGGUGAUUAGUGUGUUUUAUUUCGAAAAGAAACACGGAGGAUCUGGCACGUGACAUCUCAGUGAGAUGAAAAUGAAAAGUUCUGUGGAUUUCAGUCGUUUCAGAGAGAGAGAGACAGACAGAGAGAGAGAAAGAAGUUUCCAUCUAAGUGCUGUUCUUUUGUUUGUUCCUAGCAUUUUCUGCUCCAGUGAACAUUUUGAAAGGAGCGAUAUGAUAUCAUCAGCAAAAAAAUAAAUAAUAACGUGUCCUACACACACCUGCUACAUUCCAUGGAAAUGCACUCUUACUGAGUGUUUCGACAAGUUUCCACAAGAUGAUGACAAACCGUUAGUGUAAAGUAUAAAAUCACGGUGUAAUUUUCACUAUCACUUUGCCUUUACUCUGUCUGUAUAAGAGCCUUGCUAGCUGAACUGUUGGCCACAGUAGUUAGCUAGCUCACGUUUGCUGUCUAGCAAACAGCGGCGUAACUAAACUGACAUGAUAGCGUGCGGUUUCCGAGGCUAGUCGCAAAUAGCGACGAGAUAAGGUACUGAAUAUAGCUAGAUUGAACGUAAGAUACUAAAUAUUGCUAGUUUGUUGAUAAGAGACUACAUACAGCUAGACUGAAGAUAACAGUACUACAUAUGGCUAGCUUAAAAUAGCCGUACUAAAUAUAGCUAGCUUAAAAUGAGUGAAUAAAUAUAGUUACCUGACUGACUUUAUAAUGAGGGGCUGCUGUUGGUGUAUGUUAGCUAAACAUAAGGAUGACUAGCUAAGGUACUAAUUAUAGCUAGAUGGAACGUGAGAUACUAAAUAUUGCUAGCUUGAUUAUAAGAAAUGAAAUAUAGCUAGAUAUAGAUAACAGUACUAAAUACAGCUAGGUUAAAAUAAGGUACUAAAUAGUGUUACCUGGCUAGCAUUAUAGUGAGGGGUUGCUGUCGGUGUAUGUUAGCUAAACAUUAGGAUGACUAGCUUAUAUCGAAAUAUGAUAAGGUAACUUUAUAAUAAGGGGUUUCCAUUGGGUUUAUUAGCUAAAUAUAUGUAUGACUAGCAAAUAGUGACAUGAGAUAAGGUACUAAAUAUAGCUAGCUUGAACAUACCUGUACUAAACAGAGCUAGCUUGAAGAUAACGGUAUGAAAUCUAACUUUAAAGGGUGAUUAAAGUGCCAGAUAAGUUGAACACACGAAUAAAUGAAAUAAAUAAAUAGCUAGCAUGAAGGUAAGAUACUAAAUGUAGAUAGCUGGCCAGGAUUACAGUAAAAGAUUGCGACUGAAGUAGCUAAGCAUAAACAGCUACAUAGCUAAUUAGCCUCCUGGUAGUUUGUAAGACUUUAUAAAAUAACGUAAGAAAUAAAAUAAGCUGUUAAUCUGUAAGCAUAUUAUUUAGAUAACUAAACUUAAGCCGGUUAACUCGCUCACUUGUUCGCUCGCUCGCUCGCUCGCUGGAAAGAUGAAGAAAUAAGGCCCAAACUCAGAUCGAGGAAACGAGUGAAUUUCCGUAAACACACAUCUCCAGACUACACGAGAAGUUUAAUGCAGUCCAGGUUUUUUUUUUACCUGCAGACGUGAGGAGAACUUCCAAACAGAUCCAAUCAAAAAAGACGACCUCGUUUCAACAAAACGAGCCCUGCAAGUACACUCGGGUAAACAAAAUCACACACGCACACACUCGUACUCUCGCGUAUAUAUACAAACACAUACAAAGCACAUGCACUGCUUUGGAGAGAAAUGCUUAUUAGCACAGCCUCGGGCUGACAGAGCAGAUGGCUGAUUAAAGCAGACGCACACACUGCCAACGUUUUAGCCCCGGAAUUCAUCAUCAAUAAGCACGGGCCGAUGCAAACACACACACUCACACACACGACUCCACACGCAAGCCAACACACAGCGAGAUCAGUCCGCCGAGUCGGUAAUCCAAACCUCAGCAUGGCGCGCUACAUCAGACGCUAGCGGAGGUCGAUACCGAGAACUGAUAUUUCCAUGUAGCUCUCCUGUCAAUCAAUUUCAAUUCUGAAGGUCAAGUCAAGUGGAUUUUAUCGUCUUCUCGUUUUUAAACAUGUAACAAACCCGAGCCGGAGACCGCUGGACAUUUAUAUUAAGUCCUUUUUGUGUGUAAAACGAUUAAAAAUUUUAAAUUAAUAGAUAAUUAUAGAAAUAGCUCAUUUAAAACGCUUCAUAUAUCAAAUCCAGUGUUUGUUUGUUUGUUUGUUUAUUAUCAUUCCAAAUCUCCAGAAUACACAGCAUUUCUGCAGCACUACAGCUCUGUCCUUUGGCUCAGUUUAACCUCUAAUAUAAAUGCUGCAACCCAAAUACACAGCAUGUUUGGUUCACUUCCUGCACCUGAUUCAGAUUUGAUUCAGAGUCAAAUCACUUUCUCACUGCAAUAAACUUCUGCAGUUGAUUCAGAUUUGAUUCAGAGUUGGUUCAGAGUCAGAACACUUUCCCACUGCAGUAGACCUCCUUCAGUCGAUUCAGAUUCAGAGUUGAUUCAUAGUCGAUUCAGAAUCAGACCACUUUCUCACUGCAGUAGACUUCCUUCAGUUGAUUCAGAGUUGAUUCAGAACCAAAUCGCUUUCUAACUGCAAAGAGGCUUCCUUCAGUCGAUUCAGAUUUAAUUCAGGGUCAAUUCAGAGUCAGAUCACUUUCUCACUGCAAUAGACUUCCUUUGGUCGGUUCAGAUUUAGAUUUGAUUCAGAGUCAAAUCACUUUCUCACUGCAAUAGGCUUCCUGCAGUUGAUUCAGAUUCAGAGUCGAUUCAGAGACAAAUCACUUUCUUACUGCAAUAAACUUCUGCAGUCGAUUCAGAUUUGAUUCAGAGUCAAAUCAGAGUCAAAUCAGUUUCCCACUGCAGUAGACUUCCUUUAGUUGAUACAGAUUCAGAGUUGAUUCAGUCGAAUCACUUUGUCACUACAACAAAGUGGGACCAAGACCAUUCGGACCUAGACGCCGACUGUUCUGGUCCACAUCCAAGUGUGAUUGCUGUGUUCUUUGAGUCGGAGAGCACUGAGUAUCUCUAAGUCCUGACAUUAGCUGGUUUUUAAUAUGCUAAUUAAAUGCGUUUAUCAGCGCACGCUGAAAAAGAGGCGAUGGAGAGGAUCUCGAGUGUGAGACGGAUUGCUACGGGUCCUGUAUCGGCAGACUGAUAAGAUACUGAAGAGCUCGGGGGUGUGUGUGUGUGUGGUGUGUGUGUGUGUGUGUGUGUGUGUGUGAGGCUUCACGUAGUGUGUGCAAGCUAACGGAAGGGACGGUGCUGUCACACUUUCACAGAUAUGUGUUGAUAUGUGUUCAUCUCUGGCUCACAGCUGUGCACACGAGUACGCACACAAACACACACAAACACACACACACACACACACACACACACACACACACAGGCGCCACAUUCUGCCACAUGUGCAUAUGCACCACUGGGGGAGGGUUAAAUGAGCCCGGUCCUUCCUCUUGAUCCAGACACACACACGCACACACACACACACACACACACACACACACACACACACACACACACACACACUAUAGCCUUUAUUUACUUUUAAAACACUUCCCCCAUCCCUUAUCUAAACAUCACACAGACUCCAUCCACAGAGCUUCCCCUGAUCCAUCCACCCGCUGCUGAUGGAGAGAAAGCGCGAGACAACGACAAAAACAAGCAUAAGAGAAAAUAAUGUUAAAAAACAUGAUUUUUAUUAGUAGUAGUAUUCCUUUUUUUAUUUCACAUUCCCGAUCUGUAAAGACGAGGUUGGCAAAAGAAACGUACUUUUGUUAGUUAUGCUGAAAAAAAACCUUGACUUGAUCCGUACUGAACUGAAAAGAGAGAGAAAGAAAGCGUAGAAGAGAUAUAGAAAAAGAGAAAUAUAGAGUGUGAGUGAGAGAUGGAGACAAAGAAAUAGAUGUGAAAGGGAGAAAGAUGAAAAGAUACUGAGAGAGAAAGGAAUGAGAGAGCAAGACAGAGAGAGAGAGAGAGAGAGCGAUAGAAAGGUAGAAAGCGAGACGAUAUCAGAGAAGAGAAGUAAGAGAAAGAAAAAGACAGACAGGUAGAGACAGACAGAUACAGAGAGCGAGAGAGAGAGUGGACAUUAGAGUGAGGCAGAGAUAUCAAGUUAGUUAAGAGUUAGAUAGACAGACAGAAUGAAAGAGAGAGACAGACAGGUAGAGUUAGAAAGAGAGAUAGAAUGAAAGAGAGUGAGGCAGAAUGAGAGAGAGACAGACAGGCAGCGUUAGAAAGAAAGACAGAAUGAAAGCGCGAGGCAGACAGGUGGAGUUAGAAAGAGAGACAGAAUGAAAGAGAGAGUGAGAGAGAAUGAAAGAGAGAGUGAGACAGAAUGAGAGACAGACAGACAGGUAGAGUUAGAAAGAGAGACAGAAUGAAAGAGAGAGAGACAGGUGGAGUUAGAAAGAGAGACAGAAUGAAAGAGAGAGUGAGACAUAUUGGAAGAGUGAGUGAGACAGAAUGAGAGAGAGACAGACAGGUAGAGUUAGAAAUAAAGACAGAAUGAAAGAGAGAGACAGACAGGUACAGUUAGAAAGAGAGACAGAAUGAGAGAGUGAGACAGAAUGAGAGACAGACAGGUUGAGUUAGGAAGAGAGACAAAAUGAAAGCGAGAGUGAGACAGAACGAGAGGAAGACAGUCAAGUGGAGUUAGAAUGAAAGACAGAAUGAAAGCGAGAGUGAGACAGAACGAGAGGAAGACAAAUGGUUGGAGUUAAGAGAGAGAAUGAAAGACAGAAUGAAAGAGAGAUAGAUACAGAAGCAGAGAUACAGUUAGACAGAAAUAGAGACAGACAGGUAGAAGUAGAAACAGACAGAAAUAGAAUGAGACAGACAGGUAGACAAAAAGAGAGAGCGAUAUAGAGAGACUGAAUGAAAAAGAGAGACAGGUAGCGUGAAAGAGCAAUAAAGUCAGAAUGAAGGAAAGGGAGUCGGACAGGCAGAAGUAGAGCGAGAGAGAGAGAUAGAGAGAGAGAGAUAGAGAGAGAGUUGGAAGGCUGCCAGUGUGUUGAGCGGAGUGAAGGUCAGCUCGUGCUGAGUGAGGACUUCAGCCUGCACCAUGAAUACACCACUGAUCGUCCUCCUCCUCCUCAUCAUCAUCAUCAUCAUCAUGUCUCUCAGCUCAGAGCUGAUUACCUCGCUCUUCACGUCUCUCUCGCACAGUCACUACCACCGAGAGCCACGCCCACCUCACGUACAUCACGGCUUUAUCACAGUCGGAAAUCCACACCGGCCUCAGAUACGCUAACUCGCUAACACACUUCUGUUAGCUGUAUGAUUAGUGCAGACAGCGAACACACUUCUCUUCUAUUAAACAGUACUAGUAUUAAAAUGAUCAUUUUAAAAAAAUCGAUUCAAGUCCUACAUCCAAAAUAUAUUCCUCUCAAAUGCUAAAACGUUUCCUCAAAAAUGCUAACACACUUCCUUAGACAUGCUAACACGUUUCCUCAGGAACGCUAACACACCAUCAGAAAUGCUAACACACUUCAUCAGAAAUGCUAACACACUUCAUUAGAAAUGCUAACACACUUCCUCAGACAUGCUAACACGCUUCCUCAGAAAUGCUAACACGCUUCCUCAGAAAUGCUAACACACUUCAUUAGAAAUGCUAACACACUUCCUCAGACAUGCUAACACGCUUCCUCAGAAAUGCUAACACACUUCAUUAGAAAUGCUAACACACUUCAUUAGAAAUGCUAACACACUACCUCAGACAUGCUAACACGUUUCCUCAGGAAUGCUAACACACUUCCUCAGACAUGCUAACAGGUUUCCUCAGGAACGCUAACACGUUUCCUCAGAAAUGCUACGCUAACACGUUUCCUCAGAAAUGCUAACACGCUUCUAUUGUACGAUUAACACAAAUACGUUAAAACGUCCUAAAUCCAAACCGGACUCGGAUAAGUCCAAACGCCAAAACACUUCUGUGUAUUAACACGCUAACAUGUUCCUCCAGAUAUGCUAACACACGCUCCGGUUUGCUAAACGACUGCUGAACGAUGCACUGCGACGGCAGCUACGCGAACACUUCGUGAAACACACAACAUAUUUAUGCUAAUCUUUAUGCUAAAAAUCAUCCUUGCGCUGGACCAGAAGUCACGCUAACGUUCUCCUGGUGGCUAAACCGACUUCGGGUCCAUUAGCGCUCUGCCAGAUAAGAUAACACGCUAAAUAAUUAGCACACCCUGACUCUGUGCACAUUAACAUGCUUCUGUUUGGUGAAAAAGGCUUUUAAACUCUUCACAUACAGAUGCUAACGCACUUCUUUUCUGCUCCGGAGGGAAGCUUAGACACACACACACACACAGCAAGAAAGAGAGAGAGGGAAAUGGAAAGGAACAGAUCUGUCGGAGGUAAAGAGAGAGCGAGGGAACGCAGCGCUCCGAGGGAAGGAAGAAAAAGCAGAAAGCCUAAUGAGGGAUGAAGCUAGAAGUGUUGAGAGCGGCAGGCUAGCUGCAGGCACGGUAGCGUAAUGCAGCAGGGACGCCGCAACAUAAUAUGAUGAUGAGGAAACACACACACACACACACACACACACACACACACACAGCAUCCGAGCCACCAGCUGAUUUGUAUCCUCUCCUGAACAUCACACACACACACACACACACAGAGGGUUAGUGAGCCGCUAAAGGUUUGUGACUUAGCGCAAACAGUUGCUGAGUAACUUCUGAGCAGUCUUUCAUUCACACACACACACACACACACACACACACACAGACACGCACGCACACACAUAAACACGACGCUAAUCACAAUGAGAGCUGAGAGAGGAACAUCUGUUCCAGCGCAGUAAUUCAAUAACUCGCUCAAACCAGCCUUUCACGCGCCAACGCACACCGGACGGAUUAGCGAUCGCGAUCGACAUCGCAGAAAACAAAAACGCCGUGACGCUUUCACAUCGAAUUAGCGCUUUGUAUUUUACUUUUAAAAACCUAGAAAGUGUGUGUGUGUAAGUGUGUAUGUAUAAUUUUUUUCCAUAACCACACCGAUCUUGCUGGAAAGAAAGGCCUGCUCUACAAUACGUGACGUUCUUUCGCAUGCGAGCACAUUCGAGAGGUUUAACGGCUAGCGGCGUUUCUUACGAAUUCUUCCGUCUGAAUCUCUCGCCGCGCCGAUACAACGUCCGAGCGGAACGAACGUCUGCAACUGCAACUGCUAUAACACGUUCCGUGGACGUCCCGCAACGUUUAUACGUAAUGUUUUUCGUUGGCGUACGAUACGAUUACGAACGUAAAACUCCGCCUCACUUCAUGACAUCACGCCACCUUGGUGUCGAUUAUUCCGCUGUAACAGCAUCAAACGUACUGUAUUUUGCGUACAUUUUUAAAAAUAAUUUUACGAUCGUAUCAUUAUAAUAUUACAAUACAGACAUGGUUGCCAGGUAUUUUUAAUUAGCCCACCUUUUUAAUAAGCGUUUGAUUCGUUUUUUUCCUUCUUUUUUUUUUAGGUCGCCAGGGUUGCCAGGUAUUUCAAGGCCCACCAUCUUAAUAAGUUUUUUAUUCGCUUUUUGAUUUAUGUUUUAGGUUGCCAGUGGUGUGAAUAUUCCAUCCGGAAUCCUUAAGUUCAUGCCUUGUUCCGGAAAAAGACCUGAAGACAAAUUUAAUAGCGAGGAAACUGAAAAAAAAGGAAUGGGGGGUUAAUAAGAUAAUUAGCGCGUUUAGUCCGACUCCAGCUCUCAAUUUGGAUGUUUGGUGGGCGAGAAGAAAAGAGAAGCGAAGCGAGUAUGUCAUCUUUAAUUUGAGUCAAAGAUCCAGACAGGAAGCGGGCAGUGAAAAACGGAAUGGACAGAGAUUCCCGGAUUUCCUGGAUGCCCAUUCCUCCGCCCGUGUCAUUUAUAUUUAUCCCAUGUGGAUGAAGCUUAGGCAGGAUGCGAGUCCAUUGUGGUGCGACAAUAAGAAGAUUGAGGCUGCAGGAGACACAUUGACUCUGAAUGGAUGAGCUGAACAUCUGGACUGGCUGGGGGUUCGAGAGUGUGUGUGUGUGUGUGUGUGUGUGUGUGAAAGAGAGUGGGUGAAUGUGUAUGUGUGUGAACCCCUUGCUGAGCUGCACCCUGCCAGCUGAAUUUAAAGCUUUCACGCUGGACGACCUCACAUCCCUUCGUUCAAACUCACACACUCGCUUCUCGCCGAACCCUAGCAAGGGCACAGCGAUGCCGUUCGGGACGUGGCCGGAUUUCUGAGCGCAGAUCGUAAAUAUUACGAAACAAUAGACUAUCUCUUCUUGACAAUAAAACUUCUUCAUGUGAGGAGGAAACACACCACCUUCCUUCCACUCUUAGCGUCUUCACACACACACACACACACACACACACACACACACACACUCAAUAGCUCCCUCUCGUUCAUUCCUCCAUAAACUUUCUUUUACUACAAAUGAUUUCUUCAAGAAGUUCUUAACAAGCGUUUUCAGUGCCAGCGGUGGGUUGCCAGCAGUGUCAAAAAAAUCAUCCUACUGAGAUGUAAAAUCUUCUUAGAAAGCUUUGUCAGGAAAAAAAACCCCCAGAAGGCUCAUAUAAUAAUAUAUCUUCUAACCAGUGACACAAUCCCCAUAUUAAACCCUCUUUAAGCUUUAGGUUGCCAGUGAUAUCAAAUUACACCCGGAAACCAUGCAUUAAGUGUCACGAAAUCACUAGUCAAAGCACUACGCCUCCUGAAACCUUAUAAGCUUUGUUGUUACAUCUAAUCAGCCAUUUAAAAAAAAAAGAAGAUAUAAAUCUUUUUGUACGCUUUAGGUUGCCAGCGAUGUCAAAUAUCAUCUAUAAACAUAAAUAAACUGUAUUUAUGCACCAAGUAAAAAUGAAUACGCAUGACUUUCUGUGUAAGCGUUUAUGUAUGUGUGUGUGUUAAGCUAUAUUAAACCAGUGAUGCAAACCCACAGCCGAGGUUGCCAGUGAUAUGAAAUAACACCCAGAAGACAAUACGCAUUCUUAAUGCAUUUUCUGAGAUCUUUUUGAAACAACUUUUAGCAGAACUAUUAAAACUUUUGUAUGAUUUAAGUUUCCAGUGUUAAAAAAAAUCAGCCUGAGGCAAUAACAAGCAUCAUGUGAAAAUUACUACUUAAAUCUCACUUAGAAACAAUUUUUAUUUUUAUUUUUAAAAUGUGUUCCUCUAUAUUUAACCAGUGACAGAAACCUACACAGUUUAUGUUGCCAGUGGUAUCAAAUAUAACUCCAAAGAGGCCAUGCAAACAUUUUCUCUUUUAGAAAUAUUAACACAAGAGUUUGUAAGAUUUAGGUUGCCAGUUGUAUUAAACGUCUGUCUGAAGAGGGAACACAUUGUAAGCAGCACGCAAAACAUAACAUAAAAUGUACCUUAAGCUAUAACGCAUUUAUAGCCUACUUAAUGACAGAAAUCUACGUAGUUCAGGUUGCCAGUUAUCAGAAUUAACACCCUUAAGAGACUGCAAUAAGCCCUGCUAAAUCUUUUAAAAAUUAGUAACUAUAUCGACUAUUAAAAAUGUUGUAUUGCUUUAGGUUGCCAGUGGUUUUAAAUAUCAUCCAGUAGGGAGACCCAGUUUGAGACAGCAUGACAUCAUCUGUCAAGACUAAUCGUUAAAAUAAUUUAGAAAUAAACUAUGGCUCAUGUUUACAUGUAAGCAAUAACAGAAUCCUACUAUAUGAAGCCAUUGAUGUGUUUGAGGUUGCCAGAGGCAUGAAAUAUGAGUAGAUCAGGUUUAGUAGUCCAAAACAUUGCACCUACAUGGACCCCUUUGUAAGCUUUAGGUUGCCAGUGGAAACAAAAAGCAUACAGUUCUAAGCAAAAAUCAUUCAACAUAAAAAGAUAGCUUAAGCUAUAGGCACCCCAUCAGUGACAGAAACCUUCUGUAUGCGUCAGGUUGCCAGAGAUAGCAAACAUCACCCCGUUUAUGCAGAAUGUUUAAGCUGAAUUAGAAGUACAAGAAACACUCCUUACGUUCUUUCCUUAGUGACAGAAACGCUAGAAACUCGUUUGGGUUGACAGUGACAUCAAAAUCGUUCGGAAAAGAACCCAGCUUUAGGAAAUGAUCCUAGAAAUGAAAUCUAAAAACAAAAUAAUAACCAAUAUUGAUCCAGCGUAUAGUAUAAAUCGGUGCAGCUCCUGUGCAACAAAGGUAAAAACACAGACAUAUAAAUAUAAGCUUGCAUUUUAAACAGUUCUGUAUUUCCUAACGCACCAAAAUAACGCAUGCACGCGCAACACAAACACCGAUGUUUCUGAUUUUUUUUAAAUAUUCCUUUCUUUCCUGGUGCGUUUUGGAUGCGCGCGAGCCCGCACUGCGAUGUUCCCAACUUCAACUUAAUACAAAAAACAAAAACAAAAAAAACACACACACACACACAUUGACCCCCAUAUCCUAAAAUUCAGACCAACAUGUUGCAGGAUUGAUGAUAUCGCACUUACGCAUUUACCCAAGAAAAAAAACAAUAACAACGCAAAAACGCAUCAGGCUCGCGCUGGACACAGAAACUCACCGUGUUGUCGCUCUGCCGCUCCGUUAAAGCGAAGCCUCAUCCACUCUCUCUCUCUCUCUCUCUCUCUCUCUCUCACACACACACACACACACACGAUCCAAAGCUGGAGUUCCCUCUCGCGAGCAGAUCCGUUCCGUAAUCGUAGCGGUGCGCGUGCGAGUCCCCGUGGGUCUAGUUCACUCACGCGCUCGUUGUCCUCAUCCUCGCGCAGAACAGCAAAACAAAAAUGUAACCGCACGCGCUCCGAUCUCUGCAACAACAACAACAACAAAAGCGGAGAGUCCGUUCACACUGACUGCCGUUUACUCUGCUCCGUCUCUGCUCUCCGUAGCUCGCGCUCGCUCUGAGGGAGGGGAUAACGCGCGCGCGCGCGCACACACGCACGCACACACACAUAUACGCAGACGAAGGAACAGGCGCACACUGAUCCGCGAGCGCCCGCCCCGCAGCACCUCCUCUUCGCCUCAGCACAUUAAAUCACCGCGAGAGAAACAAAGGCGCGCGCGGCGGCGCACCGGUGAAACGGAAACGCGUCUCCGCCCAUAAUGGACCCCCGUGAACACACCGAACACCACGUGACACCGGGGUUAAGCCUGGGUUUGGGAGGUGCGCGAGCUUGACUUCUGUACUGUUUCAUGUUUGUUUAUUAAGAUGGACAUUUUCAAGUUUUUAAUUGGAAAAACGACAAUUCUGUCUCUCUCUGUGUCUGUCUCUCUCUCUCUGUUAGACUGUCUCUCUCACUCUGUCUCACUGUGAGUCUCUCUCUCUCUGUUAGACUGUCUCUCUCACUGUGUGUCUCUCUCUGUGUCUCACUGUUAGAUUGUCUCUCUCACUCUGUCUGUUAGACUGUCUCUCUCACUGUCUCACUGUGUGUGCCUCUCUCUGUCUCACUGUUAGAUUGUCUCUCUCACUCUGUCUCACUGUGUGUGUCUCUCUCUGUCUCACUGUUAGAUUGUCUCUCUCACUCUGUCUGUUAGACUGUCUCUCUCACUGUCUCACUGUGUGUGCCUCUCUCUGUCUCACUGUUAGAUUGUCUCUCUCACUCUGUCUCACUGUGUGUCUCUCUGCAUCUCACUGUUAGAUUGUCUCUCUCACUCUGUCUCACUGUGAGUCUCUCUCUCUGUUAGACUGUCUCUCUCACUGUCUCACUGUGUGUCUCUCUCUGUGUCUCACUGUUAGAUUGUCUCUCUCACUCUGUCUCACUGUGUGUGUGUCUCUCUGUGUCUCACUGUUAGAUUGUCUCUCUCACUCUGUCUCACUGUGUGUCUCUCUGCGUCUCACUGUUAGAUUGUCUCUCUCACGCUGUCUCACUGUGUGUGUCUCUCU